This 449-nucleotide ribosomal RNA is filed under the name uncultured bacterium. RNAcentral describes it as "partial 16S ribosomal RNA". It matches the Rfam family "Bacterial small subunit ribosomal RNA", at positions 29 to 523 of the family's 1533-position model. The record is from RNAcentral.
AACGAACGCUGGCGGCAGGCCUAACACAUGCAAGUCGAACGGGUCCUUCGGGACUAGUGGCGGACGGGUGAGUAACGCGUGGGAACGUGCCCUUUGGUUCGGAAUAGCCCUGGGAAACUGGGAGUAAUACCGGAUGAGCCCUACGGGGGAAAGAUUUAUCGCCAAAGGAUCGGCCCGCGUUGGAUUAGGUAGUUGGUGGGGUAAUGGCCUACCAAGCCGACGAUCCAUAGCUGGUUUGAGAGGAUGAUCAGCCACACUGGGACUGAGACACGGCCCAGACUCCUACGGGAGGCAGCAGUGGGGGAUCUUAGACAAUGGGGGAAACCCUGAUCUAGCCAUGCCGCGUGAUCGAUGAAGGCCUUAGGGUUGUAAAGAUCUUUCAGUGGGGAAGAUAAUGACGGUACCCACAGAAGAAGCCCCGGCUAACUCCGUGCCAGCCGCCGCAGUAA